RNAcentral lists this ribosomal RNA (460 nucleotides) under uncultured bacterium. RNAcentral describes it as "partial 16S ribosomal RNA". It matches the Rfam family "Bacterial small subunit ribosomal RNA", at positions 338 to 795 of the family's 1533-position model. The record is from RNAcentral.
CCUACGGGAGGCAGCAGUGAGGAAUAUUGGUCAAUGGACGCGAGUCUGAACCAGCCAAGUAGCGUGAAGGAUGACUGCCCUAUGGGUUGUAAACUUCUUUUAUAUGGGAAUAAAAUGUUCCACGUGUGGGAUUUUGUAUGUACCAUAUGACUAAGGAUCGGCUAACUCCGUGCCAGCAGCCGCGGUAAUACGGAGGAUCCGAGCGUUAUCCGGAUUUAUUGGGUUUAAAGGGAGCGUAGGUGGAUUGGUAAGUCAGUUGUGAAAGUUUGCGGCUCAACCGUAAAAUUGCAGUUGAAACUGGCAGUCGUGAGUACAGUAGAGGUGGGCGGAAUUCGUGGUGUAGCGGUGAAAUGCUUAGAUAUCACGAAGAACUCCGAUUGCGAAGGCAGCUCACUGGACUGCAACUGACACUGAGGCUCGAAAGUGUGGGUAUCAAACAGGAUUAGAUACCCGUGUAGUC